AGGGUGCAAGCGUUAAUCGGAAUUACUGGGCGUAAAGCGCACGCAGGCGGUUUGUUAAGUCAGAUGUGAAAUCCCCGGGCUCAACCUGGGAACUGCAUCUGAUACUGGCAAGCUUGAGUCUCGUAGAGGGGGGUAGAAUUCCAGGUGUAGCGGUGAAAUGCGUAGAGAUCUGGAGGAAUACCGGUGGCGAAGGCGGCCCCCUGGACGAAGACUGACGCUCAGGUGCGAAAGCGUGGGGAGCAAACAGGAUUAGAUACCCUGGUAGUCCACGCCGUAAACGAUGUCGACUUGGAGGUUGUGCCCUCGAGGCGUGGCUACCGGAGCUAACGCGUUAAGUCGACCGCCUGGGGAGUACGGCCGCAAGGUUAAAACUCAAAUGAAUUGACGGGGGCCCGCACAAGCGGUGGAGCAUGUGGUUUAAUUCGAUGCAACGCGAAGAACCUUACCUGGUCUUGACAUCCACAGAACUUUCCAGAGAUGGAUUGGUGCCUUCGGGAACUGUGAGACAGGUGCUGCAUGGCUGUCGUCAGCUCGUGUUGUGAAAUGUUGGGUUAAGUCCCGCAACGAGCGCAACCCUUAUCUUUUGUUGCCAGCGGUCCGGCCGGGAACCCAAAGGAGACUGCCAGUGAUAAACUGGAGGAAGGUGGGGAUGACGUCAA
Molecule: ribosomal RNA, 659 nt
Filed under: uncultured Gammaproteobacteria bacterium
Lineage: Bacteria; Pseudomonadati; Pseudomonadota; Gammaproteobacteria
Description: bacterial SSU rRNA
Rfam family: Bacterial small subunit ribosomal RNA
Source: RNAcentral